Molecule: ribosomal RNA, 1045 nt
Filed under: uncultured archaeon
Lineage: Archaea
Description: bacterial SSU rRNA
Rfam family: Archaeal small subunit ribosomal RNA
Source: RNAcentral
UCCGUUUGAUCCUGGCAGAGGUCACUGCUAUCGGGGUUUCGACUAAGCCAUGCAAGUCGAGAGGGGUAAAGCCCUCGGCGAACUGCUCAGUAACACGUGGAUAACCCGACCUAGGGUGGUGGAUAACCCCGGGAAACUGGGGAUAAUACUCCAUAGGCUACGGAAGCUGGAAUGCUCUGUAACCCAAAGCUCCGGCGCCCUAGGAUGGGUCUGCGGCCGAUUAGGUUGUUGUUGGGGUAACGGCCCAACAAGCCGAUCAUCGGUACGGGUUGUGGGAGCAAGAGCCCGGAGAUGGAUUCUGAGACAUGAAUCCAGGCCCUACGGGGCGCAGCAGGCGCGAAAACUUUACAAUGCGGGAAACCGUGAUAAGGGGACCCCGAGUGCCUGUACACGCAGGCUGUUCAGGUGUUUAAAACGCAUCUGGAGAAAGGGCCGGGCAAGACCGGUGCCAGCCGCCGCGGUAAUACCGGCGGCUCGAGUGGUGGCCACUAUUACUGGGCUUAAAGCGUCCGUAGCCGGGUCGUUAAGUCUCUUGGGAAAUCCAACGGCUCAACCGUUGGGCGUUCAAGGGAUACUGGCGAUCUAGGGACUGGGGGAGGUGAGAGGUACUCUAGGGGUAGGAGUGAAAUCCUGUAAUCCUUGGGGGACCACCUGUGGCGAAGGCGUCUCACCAGAACAGCUCCGACGGUGAGGGACGAAAGCUGGGGGAGCAAACCGGAUUAGAUACCCGGGUAGUCCCAGCUGUAAACGAUGCGCGUUAGGUGUAUCGGUGACUACGAGUCACCGAGGUGCCGAAGGGAAACCGUGAAACGUGCCGCCUGGGAAGUACGGUCGCAAGGCUGAAACUUAAAGGAAUUGGCGGGGGAGCACCACAACGGGUGGAGCCUGCGGUUUAAUUGGACUCAACGCCGGGAAGCUCACCGGGUAAGACAGCGGAGUGAUAGCCAGGCUGAAGACUUUGCUUGACCAGCUGAGAGGAGGUGCAUGGCCGUCGUCAGUUCGUACUGUGAAGCAUCCUGUUAAGUCAGGCAACGAGCGAGACCCA